This is a long non-coding RNA of Talpa occidentalis (Iberian mole), 419 nucleotides long. RefSeq lists it as uncharacterized. The record is from RefSeq and is a predicted model, not a curated record. NCBI's taxonomy places the organism in Eukaryota, Metazoa, Chordata, Mammalia, Eulipotyphla, Talpidae. The transcript has 3 exons.
CCCUCCCGGGGGACUGCAAUUAGGGGAUAUUUAAUCCUGUCACCUGGUUCAUUUGCAGUGAUGGAUUUGGACUAGAGAGCUGAGUGGCGCCAAGAGGAUAUUGGAUUACCAGGGCCCAUCCCCUUCACCCCUCAAAGAGAGCUGUCCUGCCCCUGCCCAGCACCUGCCUUCCCUGGCCCCAAGACAUCCAGUGCUGUCCAGCCCGGCCUUCAGACUAUUGCUGUGAGCUGCUUCAAUGUCACCUGGGCCGCCCCACCUGCCAGCACCUCCAGAUGCCACUGUGAGUUGGAUCCUGGUGCACUGCUCACUGUUGUACCACCAACUCCAGGCUCUCAUCAAAGAUGAUACAGAAUGAAAUUCCGUUGGCGGCUGUAUGUGCGGGAGUGCGCAAAAGUAUUUAUGAAUCCUAAAUGAAGCUG